This 253-nucleotide ribosomal RNA is filed under the name uncultured bacterium. RNAcentral's name for it is "partial 16S ribosomal RNA". It matches the Rfam family "Bacterial small subunit ribosomal RNA", at positions 524 to 776 of the family's 1533-position model. The record is from RNAcentral.
UACGAAGGGGACUAGCGUUGUUCGGAAUUAUUGGGCGUAAAGCGCGCGUAGGCGGCUUUGCUAGUCAGGGGUGAAAUCCCGGGGCUCAACCUCGGAACUGCCUUUGAUACUGCAAGUCUCGAGUCCGAUAGAGGUGGGUGGAAUUCCUAGUGUAGAGGUGAAAUUCGUAGAUAUUAGGAAGAACACCGGUGGCGAAGGCGGCCCACUGGAUCGGUACUGACGCUGAGGUGCGAAAGCGUGGGGAGCAAACAGG